AUCCUCGGAUGGAUCAGUCGAGCCUCUGCCUUUCAGUUCUCUUGGAACAAGACAGAAGAUAGUCAAUCUUACUGUCGCGCAUACCUUAAGCGGGUCUGCCGCCUUCGUUUCUCUUUCUUCAGCGAAUGACUUUGGAUCAGCGCUCGCGCGCCGUACCGCAGCCCUUUUGGGCUGCUGGCGCUCCGCGAGGGCGCGGCAUAAGCCGCGACGGCCGGUCGGCCUUGCGAGGCUUCGCCUCGAGGUCAACAGCUCGUUACUGGCAGAGCGCGGUCUUUAGGGCUUGUAGCUCAGUUGGUUAGAGCGCGCGCUUGAUAAGCGUGGGGGUCGGAGGUUCAAGUCCUCCCAGGCCCACCAUCUCCUUGAUGUCUGCCAUCUUCUUGGUGGUUCUAUCAGGAACACAAUCAGGGGCCGUAGCUCAGCUGGGAAGAGGGCCUGCUUUGCAAGCAGGAUGUCGUCGGUUCGAUCCCGUCCGGCUCCACCAUCUUUCCCUGGAAAGAGGUGUCGAGUAGAGAUGUGGUGAAAAAAGUCAUUCGUAUAAAGGUUUGUGGUGAGCUUCUUGGCUUGCCGCUUGUUCUGUUUGACAUCGUAAAGAGAAGAUUUGUUCGAACUUCAUGGGCUGAAAGGCUUCAUGAUUUGUCGCAAGGGACGCUCAAUCCCUUGCAUAUGAUGGGUUUGCCUAACCGCACCCUCGAACCGAUCUCGAGAAGCUGGUCUUUUUGCGCCAAUGACAUCGAGCAAGAUCCCGCACAGGAUCUGGUUCGAGGCGACAAUCCCUUCGGGAUUGCGCUUAUGCGACGAUCUCUUCGAGAUCGCGCCUAUGCGACGAUCCUUCGGAUCGCGCUUAGCUAACCUCGCAAGGGUUUGGCUGAAGCGACGAUCCCUUCGGGAUCGCGCGGAUGGGUAUUGGCAAUGAGAACGAUCAAGUGUCUUAAGGGCAAUUGGUGGAUGCCUUGGCAUGCACAGGCGAUGAAGGACGUGAUACGCUGCGAUAAGCUA
This 996-nucleotide transfer RNA is filed under the name Mesorhizobium sp. N33. Its description in RNAcentral is "partial contains 16S ribosomal RNA, 16S-23S ribosomal RNA intergenic spacer, and 23S ribosomal RNA". The stretch from base 277 to 351 matches the Rfam family "tRNA". Lineage: Bacteria; Pseudomonadati; Pseudomonadota; Alphaproteobacteria; Hyphomicrobiales; Phyllobacteriaceae. The record is from RNAcentral.